RNAcentral lists this ribosomal RNA (486 nucleotides) under uncultured bacterium. Its description in RNAcentral is "bacterial SSU rRNA". It matches the Rfam family "Bacterial small subunit ribosomal RNA", at positions 448 to 929 of the family's 1533-position model. The record is from RNAcentral.
AAAUCCCGCUGGUUAAUACCUGGCAGGAGGACAGUACCGGAAGAAUAAGCACCGGCUAACUACGUGCCAGCAGCCGCGGUAAUACGUAGGGUGCAAGCGUUAAUCGGAAUUACUGGGCGUAAAGCGUGCGCAGGCGGUUGUGCAAGUCUGAUGUGAAAGCCCCGGGCUUAACCUGGGAACGGCAUUGGAGACUGCACGACUAGAGUGCGUCAGAGGGGGGUAGAAUUCCACGUGUAGCAGUGAAAUGCGUAAAGAUGUGGAGGAAUACCGAUGGCGAAGGCAGCCCCCUGGGAUGACACUGACGCUCAUGCACGAAAGCGUGGGGAGCAAACAGGAUUAGAUACCCUGGUAGUCCACGCCCUAAACUUGUCAACUAGCUGUUGGGGUUUUGAAUCCUUGUUAGCUUAACUAACGCGUGAAGUUGACCACCUGGGGAGUCCGUCCGCAAGGUUAAAACUUAAAUGAAUUGACGGAACUCUCAAUUAA